GCUAGGAUUCUAACCCUACACCGUUAUCCGGUUAGGGGACAGUUUCAGGUGGUCAGUUUGACUGGGGCGGUCGCCUCCCAAAAGGUAACGGAGGCGUGCAAAGGUUUCCUCAGGCUGGUCGGAAAUCAGUCGUAGAGUGUAAAGGCAUAAGGAAGCUUGAUUGUGAGACCUACAAGUCGAACAAAGACGAAAGUCGGCCUUAGUGAUCCGACGGUUCCGAGUGGAAGGGCCGUCGCUCAACGGAUAAAAGUUACUCUAGGGAUAACAGGCUGAA
Molecule: ribosomal RNA, 274 nt
Filed under: uncultured eukaryote
Lineage: Eukaryota
Description: partial large subunit ribosomal RNA
Rfam family: Bacterial large subunit ribosomal RNA
Source: RNAcentral